RNAcentral lists this unclassified non-coding RNA (54 nucleotides) under Blastocrithidia gerricola. RNAcentral describes it as "gRNA". The record is from RNAcentral. Lineage: Eukaryota; Euglenozoa; Kinetoplastea; Trypanosomatida; Trypanosomatidae.
ACUAUAAAAGUACAUUUUUCCUAUUAAAUUUUUAUCAUUUUUUUUUGUUAUUUA